CGAAUCAUAGGCGAUAAACUAUGGAGGCCUCCAUGAGCAUUUUCAUGGGCUUAGGCCGUAAUUGGCCACGUUGGGCCGUGUGAGCUCAAUGGGCUCAUGGGCCCCACAUGGAUGAAAACCAUGAUUUGUGGUAAAUACUGGACUAGGUUAUGUAGAUCCCAUAGCCGUGGUGAAAUCUGGGCUAAACAGGCCACACGAG
This 199-nucleotide long non-coding RNA is filed under the name Gossypium barbadense (sea-island cotton). Its description in RNAcentral is "long non-coding RNA (GBAR_LNC018314)". The record is from RNAcentral. Lineage: Eukaryota; Viridiplantae; Streptophyta; Magnoliopsida; Malvales; Malvaceae.